This 92-nucleotide non-coding RNA is filed under the name Wolbachia endosymbiont of Armadillidium vulgare. Lineage: Bacteria; Pseudomonadati; Pseudomonadota; Alphaproteobacteria; Rickettsiales; Anaplasmataceae. The record is from RNAcentral.
GAGAGCCACGUGAUAUGGAAACAGUCAUGCGUGGUUCGGAGAGGGGUUGUUGGAAAAGUGCUUAACAGUAACUCGUUGGCUACCUACUCUAC